CGUUGGUCAAGCGGUUAAGACACCGCCCUUUCACGGCGGUAACACGGGUUCGAAUCCCGUACGGGUCA
This 68-nucleotide transfer RNA is filed under the name Listeria monocytogenes. Its description in RNAcentral is "tRNA-Glu". It matches the Rfam family "tRNA". From Rfam's summary of the family: Transfer RNA (tRNA) molecules are approximately 80 nucleotides in length. Their secondary structure includes four short double-helical elements and three loops (D, anti-codon, and T loops). The record is from RNAcentral. Lineage: Bacteria; Bacillati; Bacillota; Bacilli; Caryophanales; Listeriaceae.